This 253-nucleotide ribosomal RNA is filed under the name uncultured bacterium. RNAcentral's name for it is "partial 16S ribosomal RNA". It matches the Rfam family "Bacterial small subunit ribosomal RNA", at positions 524 to 776 of the family's 1533-position model. The record is from RNAcentral.
AACGUAGGAGCCAAGCGUUAUCCGAAUUCACUGGGCGUAAAGCGCGUGCAGGCGGCUUGGUAAGUUGGAUGUGAAAUCUCCUGGCUCAACUGGGAGAGGCCGUUCAAUACUGUCAGGCUAGAGGGCGACAGAGGAAAGUGGAAUUCCCGGUGUAGUGGUGAAAUGCGUAGAUAUCGGGAGGAACACCAGUGGCGAAGGCGACUUUCUGGGUCGCACCUGACGCUCAGACGCGAAAGCUAGGGGAGCAAACGGG